RNAcentral lists this ribosomal RNA (445 nucleotides) under uncultured bacterium. RNAcentral describes it as "partial 16S ribosomal RNA". It matches the Rfam family "Bacterial small subunit ribosomal RNA", at positions 354 to 796 of the family's 1533-position model. The record is from RNAcentral.
GUGAGGAAUAUUGGACAAUGGGCGCAAGCCUGAUCCAGCCAUGCCGCGUGCAGGAAGACGCAUCUAUGGUGUGUAAACUGCUUUUGUACGGGAAGAAACACUCCCUCGUGAGGGAGCUUGACGGUACCGUAAGAAUAAGGAUCGGCUAACUCCGUGCCAGCAGCCGCGGUAAUACGGAGGAUCCAAGCGUUAUCCGGAAUCAUUGGGUUUAAAGGGUCCGUAGGCGGUUUAAUAAGUCAGUGGUGAAAGCCCAUCGCUCAACGAUGGAACGGCCAUAGAUACUGUUAGACUUGAAUUACAAGGAAGUAACUAGAAUAUGUAGUGUAGCGGUGAAAUGCUUAGAUAUUACAUGGAAUACCAAUUGCGAAGGCAGGUUACUACUUGUGGAUUGACGCUGAUGGACGAAAGCGUGGGGAGCGAACAGGAUUAGAUACCCGUGUAGUCC